RNAcentral lists this ribosomal RNA (553 nucleotides) under uncultured bacterium. RNAcentral's name for it is "partial 16S ribosomal RNA". It matches the Rfam family "Bacterial small subunit ribosomal RNA", at positions 355 to 899 of the family's 1533-position model. The record is from RNAcentral.
UGGGGAAUUUUGGACAAUGGGCGAAAGCCUGAUCCAGCAAUGCCGCGUGUGUGAAGAAGGCCUUCGGGUUGUAAAGCACUUUUGUCCGGAAAGAAAUCCUUGGCUCUAAGUACAGUCGGGGGAUGACGGUACCGGAAGAAUAAGCACCGGCUAACUACGUGCCAGCAGCCGCGGUAAUACGUAGGGUGCAAGCGUUAAUCGGAAUUACUGGGCGUAAAGCGUGCGCAGGCGGUUUGCUAAGACCGAUGUGAAAUCCCCGGGCUCAACCUGGGAACUGCAUUGGUGACUGGCAGGCUAGAGUAUGGCAGAGGGGGGUAGAAUUCCACGUGUAGCAGUGAAAUGCGUAGAGAUGUGGAGGAAUACCGAUGGCGAAGGCAGCCCCCUGGGCCAAUACUGACGCUCAUGCACGAAAGCGUGGGGAGCAAAACAGGAUUAGAUACCCCUGGUAGUCCACGCCCUAAACGAUGUCAACUAGUUGUUGGGGAUUCAUUUCCUUAGUAACGUACUAACGCGUGAAGUUGACCGCCUGGGGAGUACGGUCGCAAGAUUAAAA